UGGGGAAUAUUGCGCAAUGGGCGAAAGCCUGACGCAGCGACGCCGCGUGAGUGAUGAAGGCCCUAGGGUUGUAAAGCUCUGUGGGGAGGGACGAAUAAGCGCCUAUAAACAGUAGGCGUGAUGACGGUACCUCCUUAGCAAGCACCGGCUAACUCUGUGCCAGCAGCCGCGGUAAGACAGAGGGUGCAAACGUUGUUCGGAAUCACUGGGCGUAAAGCGCGUGUAGGCUGUCGCGCAAGUCAAGUGUGAAAUCCCUGGGCUCAACCCAGGAAGUGCACUCGAAACUGCGCGACUCGAGUCCCGGAGAGGGAGGCGGAAUUCUCGGUGUAGAGGUGAAAUUCGUAGAUAUCGAGAGGAACACCAGUGGCGAAGGCGGCCUCCUGGACGGUGACUGACGCUCAGACGCGACAGCGUGGGGAGCAAACAGG
Molecule: ribosomal RNA, 428 nt
Filed under: uncultured Myxococcales bacterium
Lineage: Bacteria; Pseudomonadati; Myxococcota; Myxococcia; Myxococcales
Description: bacterial SSU rRNA
Rfam family: Bacterial small subunit ribosomal RNA
Source: RNAcentral